GACGAACGCUGGCGGCGUGCUUAACACAUGCAAGUCGAGCGGGGAGUUAGCCUUCGGGCUGACUUCUAGCGGCGGACGGGUGAGUAACGCGUGAGCAACCUUUCUCUCAGUGGGGAAUAACACAGGGAAACUUGUACUAAUACCGCAUAACGCGUAGAGGUCGCAUGGCCUUUACGCCAAAGAUUUAUCGCCGAAAGAUGGCCUCGCGUCUGAUUAGCUAGUUGGUGAGGUAACGGCCCACCAAGGCGACGAUCAGUAGCCGGACUGAGAGGUUGAACGGCCACAUUGGGACUGAGAUACGGCCCAGACUCCUACGGGAGGCAGCAGUGGGGAAUAUUGGGCAAUGGGGGAAACCCUGACCCAGCAACGCCGCGUGAAGGAAGAAGGCCUUCGGGUUGUAAACUUCUUUUACCAGGGACGAAGAACGUGACGGUACCUGGAGAAAAAGCAACGGCUAACUACGUG
RNAcentral lists this ribosomal RNA (465 nucleotides) under uncultured bacterium. Its description in RNAcentral is "bacterial SSU rRNA". It matches the Rfam family "Bacterial small subunit ribosomal RNA", at positions 28 to 507 of the family's 1533-position model. The record is from RNAcentral.